CGAGUAUUGGGUUGACAGCCAAUCCUAUUGUCAACUUUUCUGGUGUUGUUGGGUCAAAUCUUCUUGCCCUUGGUACCGAUCUUUCAUUUGAUACCAAAACUGGAAACUUCACAAAAGUCAAUACUGGACUGAGCUUUGCCAACGCUGACCUAAUUGCAUCUCUGACCUUGUGAGUUUUUUAUUUAGUCAGACUCUUCAUUUACGCCUAUAGUGUGCUCCUUUUCCUUUUUGGUACUUAUUAAGGCGAAUAAUUAAUGUUCAGGAAUGACAAGGGUGAUACGUUGAGUGCAUCCUACUACCAUACAGUGAACCCUUUGACAAGCACCGCUGUUGGUGCGGAGGUUGCUCAUAGCUUUUCCUCCAACGAGAACACCAUCACGGUUGGCACCCAACAUGCACUUGAUCCACUGACCUCAGUGAAGGCUCGGGUGAACAAUUUUGGAAAGGCAAGUGCUCUUAUCCAGCAUGAGUGGCGUCCAAAAUCAUUCUUCACUGUAUCUGGUGAGGUAGACACGAAAGCAAUUGAGAAGAGCGCAAAAGUUGGGCUAGCUUUGGCCUUGAAGCCAUGAUAGGAAAUUU
RNAcentral lists this long non-coding RNA (579 nucleotides) under Cucumis sativus (cucumber). Its description in RNAcentral is "long non-coding RNA (CSAT_LNC001281)". The record is from RNAcentral. Lineage: Eukaryota; Viridiplantae; Streptophyta; Magnoliopsida; Cucurbitales; Cucurbitaceae.